This is a non-coding RNA of Salvelinus sp. IW2-2015, 255 nucleotides long. The record is from RefSeq and is a predicted model, not a curated record. Lineage: Eukaryota; Metazoa; Chordata; Actinopteri; Salmoniformes; Salmonidae.
AGACAGACCACAAGUCUCACGAUACUGUGCCCAUUGAAGACAUGGGAGCACACCAGAAGGGUGAGCUUGCAGCCGCUAAAGCAGAGGUUGGARAGAUGGUCCAGGUCAGACAGAAGAAGGUGGAUGAAAUCAAACACUCUGUGGAGCUCAGUAGGAAAAGUACAAGCAAAGAUAUUGAGGACAGUGAGAAUCUCUUCACCAAUCUGUUGCGUUCGGGUGAAGAAAGACGAACCAAUCUAAAGCAGGUGAUGGAGG